UUNNCUGNNUCCAUNGGUUAANGAGGCGAACCGGGGGAACUGAAACAUCUAAGUACCCCGAGGAAAAGAAAUCAACCGAGAUUCCCCCAGUAGCGGCGAGCGAACGGGGAGCAGCCCAGAGCCUGAAUCAGUAUGUGUGUUAGUGGAAGCGUCUGGAAAGGCGCGCGAUACAGGGUGACAGCCCCGUACACAAAAAUGCACAUAUUGUGAGCUCGAUGAGUAGGGCGGGACACGUGGUAUCCUGUCUGAAUAUGGGGGGACCAUCCUCNAAGGCUAAAUACUCUGACUGACGAUAGUGAACAGU
RNAcentral lists this ribosomal RNA (304 nucleotides) under Escherichia coli. RNAcentral's name for it is "23S ribosomal RNA". It matches the Rfam family "Bacterial large subunit ribosomal RNA", at positions 154 to 499 of the family's 2925-position model. Lineage: Bacteria; Pseudomonadati; Pseudomonadota; Gammaproteobacteria; Enterobacterales; Enterobacteriaceae. The record is from RNAcentral.